CCGAGUUGACAAACUCCCAAACCCCGUGUGAACCUUUACCGUCCCCGUUGCUUCGGCGGUGCCGCCCCGGGCGCGGGCCUCUCGCAGGCCGCCAGCCCCGGAACCAGGCGCCCGCCGGAGGACCCCCAAAACCCCUGUAUUCUAGCGUCUUCCUCUGAGUUUGCGGCUCUCCACGAGCGGCAUGAAAAAAAAAUGAAUCA
RNAcentral lists this unclassified non-coding RNA (200 nucleotides) under uncultured Hypocreales. RNAcentral describes it as "sequence contains ITS1". Lineage: Eukaryota; Fungi; Ascomycota; Sordariomycetes; Hypocreales. The record is from RNAcentral.